This 294-nucleotide ribosomal RNA is filed under the name uncultured bacterium. RNAcentral describes it as "partial 16S ribosomal RNA". It matches the Rfam family "Bacterial small subunit ribosomal RNA", at positions 338 to 629 of the family's 1533-position model. The record is from RNAcentral.
CCUACGGGGGGCAGCAGUGAGGAAUAUUGGUCAAUGGGCGGAAGCCUGAACCAGCCAAGUCGCGUGAGGGAAUCCGGCCCUACGGGUCGUCCCCCUCUUUUGCCGGGGCGCCAGGGCCGGGACGCGUCCCGGCCCGGAGAGUACCCGGAGAAAAAGCAUCGGCUAACUCCGUGCCAGCAGCCGCGGUAAUACGGAGGAUGCGAGCGUUAUCCGGAUUUAUUGGGUUUAAAGGGUGCGUAGGCGGGCUUUUAAGUCAGCGGUAAAAAUUCGGGGCUCAACCCCGUCCGGCCGUUG